UCAAGGAAGAAAUUUUGACGGUACUUGAGGAAUAAGCAUCGGCUAACUCUGUGCCAGCAGCCGCGGUAAUACAGAGGAUGCAAGCGUUAUCCGGAAUCACUGGGCAUAAAGCGUCUGUAGGUGGCGUGUCAAGUCUGCUGUUAAAGAUCAGGGCCUAACCCUGGGAAAGCAGUGGAAACUAAUACGCUUGAGUGUGGUAGAGGUAGAGGGAAUUCCUGGUGUAGCGGUGAAAUGCGUAGAUAUUAG
RNAcentral lists this ribosomal RNA (246 nucleotides) under uncultured phototrophic eukaryote. Its description in RNAcentral is "partial 16S ribosomal RNA". It matches the Rfam family "Bacterial small subunit ribosomal RNA", at positions 439 to 700 of the family's 1533-position model. The record is from RNAcentral.